CAGCGGUUCUGCGGGAGCCCCACGGGGGCUGAGAGGGCGUCCGGCGCCGACCGCCACACCUGAUGCGGGUCAUGCCGCCGUAGGAAAGGACGAUGCCGGUGAC
RNAcentral lists this non-coding RNA (103 nucleotides) under Kocuria sp. RNAcentral's name for it is "TPP sequence". It matches the Rfam family "TPP riboswitch aptamer (THI element)". Rfam says of the family: Vitamin B(1) in its active form thiamin pyrophosphate (TPP) is an essential coenzyme that is synthesised by coupling of pyrimidine and thiazole moieties in bacteria. The previously detected thiamin-regulatory element, thi box was extended, resulting in a new, highly conserved RNA secondary structure, the THI element, which is widely distributed in eubacteria and also occurs in some archaea. Lineage: Bacteria; Bacillati; Actinomycetota; Actinomycetes; Micrococcales; Micrococcaceae. The record is from RNAcentral.